This 440-nucleotide ribosomal RNA is filed under the name uncultured bacterium. Its description in RNAcentral is "partial 16S ribosomal RNA". It matches the Rfam family "Bacterial small subunit ribosomal RNA", at positions 338 to 795 of the family's 1533-position model. The record is from RNAcentral.
CCUACGGGUGGCAGCAGUGGGGAAUAUUGCACAAUGGGGGAAACCCUGAUGCAGCGACGCCGCGUGAGCGAUGAAGUAUUUCGGUAUGUAAAGCUCUAUCAGCAGGGAAGAAACUGACGGUACCUGACUAAGCAUCCCCGGCUAACUACGUGCCAGAUGCCGCUGUAAUACGUAGGGGGCAAGCGUUAUCCGGAUGUACUGGGGGUAAAGGGAGCGUAGAAGGCGAUGCAAGCCAGAUGUGAAAACCCGGGGCGCAACCCCGGGACUGCAUUUGGAACUGUGUGGCUGGAGUGUCGGAGAGGCAGGCGGAAUUACUAGUGUAGCGGUGAAAUGCGUAGAUAUUAGGAGGAACACCAGUGGCGAAGGCGGCCUGCUGGACGAUGACUGACGUUGAGGCUCGAAAGCGUGGGGAGCAAACAGGAUUAGAUACCCGAGUAGUC